UACGAAGGGUGCAAGCGUUACUCGGUAUUACUGGGCGUAAAGCGUGCGUAGGCGGUUUGUUAAGUCCGUUGUGAAAGCCCUGGGCUCAACCUGGGAAUUGCAGUGGAUACUGGCGAGCUAGAGUGCGGUAGAGGAUGGUGGAAUUCCCGGUGUAGCGGUGAAAUGCGUAGAGAUCGGGAGGAACACCCGUGGCGAAGGCGGCCAUCUGGACCAGCACUGACGCUGAGGCACGAAAGCGUGGGGAGCAAACAGG
This 253-nucleotide ribosomal RNA is filed under the name uncultured bacterium. RNAcentral describes it as "partial 16S ribosomal RNA". It matches the Rfam family "Bacterial small subunit ribosomal RNA", at positions 524 to 776 of the family's 1533-position model. The record is from RNAcentral.